Long non-coding RNA from Triticum aestivum (bread wheat), 2298 nucleotides. RefSeq lists it as uncharacterized. Lineage: Eukaryota; Viridiplantae; Streptophyta; Magnoliopsida; Poales; Poaceae. The transcript is spliced from 7 exons. The record is from RefSeq and is a predicted model, not a curated record.
GCGAGAGCGACCUAACCCGCGUCCCCCCGACCCCCCGGCCUCCUCCUCCCUCUCCAUCACCCUCUCGCUCGUCGCCGCCGCCGCCCUGGCCUCCCCCGCCGCUCAUCUCCCCUACUCCGGCGCGCCCUCUCGCUAGCCGCCACAUCCGUCAGCCCAUGGAUUUCGGCGCAACCACUCUCGGCCGCCACCUCUCCUCUCAUCUCCUCGUUUCCUCCAAAUUUCCUGAUCUGGAGUUGGAGAGGCAAAUACGUCCGCCGACGCCAUGGAGAUGGAGGAGGCUGCAACUGGUGCUGGAAAGCCAUGGGUGGCGGAGAGGAGGAAGGGAGUAGGGGCCCGACCGUCUCCGCGCCUCCUCUCGCCGAGCUGCGGCUCACCCCUGCGCGCGCGCUCUCUCUCUCUCUCUCUCUCUCUCUCAGGUACUCUCUCCUGCAUCUCGCGCGAAGCCGUCCUGCUGGUGGCUCGAGCGAUGCAGGCAGCAGCGAGCGCCAGUGAGUGUAGGAGCCUGGCAGCGGGAGCGUUGGCGCCGGUGAGUGCAGGAGCCUGGCAGUGGGAGCAUUGGCGCGACGACCACCGUGUCGCAGGUCAAGACUUGGGAGUGCAUCUGGAAUCCCGGGUUGUCCUGGUUGUUCAUCGUUCGGCUUGCUACCUGGGGCUAAUGAGUUGUUGAAGGCAGAUGAGAUUAUAGUGCAAAUUGACUCAAGGUCAAUUGCUGUGUCACAUAUUCCUCACAAUGUAAAGCUGGAAGAUGUUCAAUCUUUCUUUGGUCAGUAUGGCAAGGUUAACAUCGUAAGGCUUCCAAAACAUGUUUCUAACAAGAGGCAGUUCUCCGGCACAUCUUUGGUCGAAUUUUCGGAAGAAGUUGAAGCUAACAAUAUCAUGAAUAACAAACUUAGUUUUGCAGGAGCGGAUCUAGAAAUAAAAACAAAGAAGGAAUUUGAUGCUGAAAUGGAGGCUAAGAAAGAAGCUUAUGAGAAGUCGCACCCUAAUACACACCCUAAUAAGAAUGGUCAUGACGAAGGCUUAUGGUGACACAGAACAAAAUGGUGGGGACAAAGUUGAUAAUAGCGACAAUGCCAAGAAGGAAGGGGUGGAAUCGGGGAAAGCUUGUGAAGAGAAGGCCCCUGAGAACACUGAUGCCAAGGAAGAGAAGUCAGAUGAUGCUGAGGAGUUGAAAGUGUCAGAUGCACAAGGGAGCGGGCUGCUCUCGGUGCUCGACCGGGCGCUCACCGACGAGGAGGAGUACCGCCGCGCGCGCCCAGGUGCAGCGCAAGGACGUGGAGGCAGAGGGGUACGCCGUCGAGGGUAUCUCGGUGAGCGGGCACGAGACCUGCAUCACCGUGCCGUCCCUCAACGUCGCAUUUGACAUCGGCCGCGGCCCGCUCUUCGCCGUGCGCUAGGACCACCUCUUCAUCACGCACGCCACCUCGACCACAUCGUCCUUUUGUCAGUGUCUUCAAUUGCUUUGCUGAAUAGUGGGUGGUAGCUGCUUGAGUGAAGAUCUUCGUAUCGAGGUUUGUUUACUACCGUGGAUUGCUUAUAUCACCUUGUUCUGUAAUUGUCUGUUACUUGUUGUACACAUACUGACUAGGCGUUGUGUCCGUGUUGCUGUUUUCCAUUUGCCUUUGCUGGUUAACUUACUUUUCAAGGACUAUUUCUUCUGCUCAGGAUGUGCCCUACUGUAUCUUUUGUGAUUCCUAUUUUGGAGACCCUGGCGGCGCAUGUUCCUUUGCCUACUCUUUUGUACAUGUGUGAGAUAGCCGACGAUGGGGCUGUGAUUGCUGGUGUUGAGCUUGAGCUUCCUACGGAUAGUGUGUCCCUGCUUCCAGAUAGGACGUUGCUAAAAUUUCUGCAGGGGGGCUAUGGGUUUGUUAUCAGGGACUACGGGUUUCAUAGUGUUGGUUCAUACCAUUCAGGAGCAGUGCUGGUGCUAAGAACGCUGGCAAUGCAAAGAAAACAAGGCAGUAAUUCAUCUAUCGCCUAAGAUGACCAUGGACGUACGGUUCUUCUGUACAUAGACGCUCGCUGCUUUGGCAAAGGCCCUUAUAACCUACGCCAGCAAGGACUAGCCAAGACCUCGCCGCAGUUGUCUUCAUGCACUUGUCUUUGCAACCUUUUGGACACGCUGCUACUAUUUUGCUUGUGUGUUUGCAAAUCCAGGUUUUGGUGCUCAUAGAGUAAUGCCCAAGAUCUGUUUGAUGCAAUUCCCUAUUAAGCUCUGUAGUAGACCAUUUUUAUCUGUUGUGAAUAUUGUCGUUCAAACUAUCUUCUUACCCCUACCUUCUUACCCCAACUGUCGUG